Molecule: ribosomal RNA, 253 nt
Filed under: uncultured bacterium
Lineage: Bacteria
Description: partial 16S ribosomal RNA
Rfam family: Bacterial small subunit ribosomal RNA
Source: RNAcentral
UACGGAGGAGGCAAGCGUUAUCCGGAAUUAUUGGGCGUAAAGAGUCCGUAGGGGGCCAUUCAAGUCUGCUGUUAACGCGUGGAGCUUAACUCCAUACCGGCAGUGGAAACUGAAUAGCUAGAGUUCGGUAGGGGUAGCGGGAAUUCCCAGUGUAGCGGUGAAAUGCGUAGAGAUUGGGAAGAACAUCGGUGGCGAAAGCGCGCUACUGGACCGAAACUGACGCUGAGGGACGAAAGCUAUGGGAGCGAAAGGG